GCUAAACGCGAAGAACCUUACCAGGCCUUGACAUCCUGAGAACCCUCCAGAGACGGAGGGUGCCCUCCGGGUAGGCUCAGAGACAGGUGCUGCAUGGCUGUCGUCAGCUCGUGUCGUGAGAUGUUCGGUUAAGUCGGCAACGAGCGCAACCCUCCGCCAUUAGUUGCCAGCAUUUCGGAUGGGCACUCUAGUGGGACUGCCUAUGAAAGUAAGGAGGAAGGCGGGGAGUGACGUCUAGUCAGCAUGGUCCUUACGGCCUGGGGCGACACACGUGCUACAAUGGCCGGUCAGCGCGCUGCCACCUCGCGAGAGGGAGCUAAUCGCGAAAGCCGGUCCCAGUUCAGAUUGCAGUCUGCAACUCGACUGCAUGAAGUUGGAAUCGCUAGUAAUCGCGGAUCAGAUGUCGCGGUGAAUACGUUCCCGGGUCUUGUACACACCGAGUCGUGG
Molecule: ribosomal RNA, 447 nt
Filed under: uncultured bacterium
Lineage: Bacteria
Description: bacterial SSU rRNA
Rfam family: Bacterial small subunit ribosomal RNA
Source: RNAcentral